Long non-coding RNA from Rhagoletis pomonella (apple maggot), 1073 nucleotides. RefSeq lists it as uncharacterized. The transcript has 3 exons. The record is from RefSeq and is a predicted model, not a curated record. Lineage: Eukaryota; Metazoa; Arthropoda; Insecta; Diptera; Tephritidae.
UUUUUGCGUCAUCAUGACUGCGUAAAAAAGAUGAAGCAUGAAAAUCUACUACUACGAAAGUUUGUUUUUUACUCCCGUUGUUUGAGUAGUCCGAACCCUGGUAUGGAUACAUAUCAAUGAAAAGAAUUCAUUUACACCAUUGGAAUUUUCUUAAUGCAUGAGGUUCUACGCACGCAACCAGAUAAAAAUACAUAAGCCUACAUCUGUCCUCGGGCGCUGGCAUUUGGUGACCAUAUCGGGACUCGGCUGGAGUACCAGAACCCCAAAGAAACCCGAAAGUGGCCAAAGCACUAUUGCCUACAUAUAUGCACCUUUGAGCUACACUUGGCGUAACGCCCCUAACCUCGCUAUUAUGCAGUAUUAUGCUAUAUUAAUAGCUACUCUGCAUGUAUGACAGACGGAAAUGCAAUUAGAACUCACUAAUUCAAUAUGCGCAAUAUCUCAGAGCAAGUAUAUUCGCCUAAACUUUUAUACAUCAACUUAACCUACAAGCAAAGCAAGAGUGGUGCGGCGAAUUGCAAGAUGACCACGUGGAAAUCUUUCUGAUAUUCCGCAUUCGUAAUGCGACCGGCUUCUUUGCGUAUGUCCAUGAUUUUAUCACAAGCUAACUUUUGAUACGAUUGCAAAUAUAUUCGUAUUAAAGCGAAGCGUAGUAGUACGAUUAUUAUGACAAUUAGCAGGCGAAUUGUGUCAAGGCCUCCACUGAAAGUAAAGGCUUCUACAUGCCCACAUAUCGAUGCACUUGCUGCGUUCAGUUACAUCUGGUCUUUAUUGGCCGAUUCGCUUUUUUUACUAUUGACUUGGCACAGUGCUACCCAGUCAACGCUGCAUGAACGCAAAUCUAGUAAAACGAUGACACGCAAACCCGUGGAACUACAGCGUCAACGCCGUCAUGAAAGGGUGAAGUGCUAUUGCGAAACUGAACUGUGUGAUUGGACAAACUAAACUAAGGGUGCGCGAAUAAAGAAACCAUGCGGCUGAAACGACUACAAUGAGAAGCAGCCUGACGACUCUGGCAACAAAAAUUAGAACGGAAGCAGAAAUCUGUGAGUUUUAAAAUUAUAAUUAUCAUU